AGAGUUUGAUCAUGGCUCAGAUUGAACGCUGGCGGCAUGCUUUACACAUGCAAGUCGAGCGGCAGCGCGGGGGCAACCCUGGCGGCGAGCGGCGGACGGGUGAGUAAUGCAUCGGAACGUAUCCCGUAGUGGGGGACAACCCAGCGAAAGCUGGGCUAAUACCGCAUAUGCUCUACGGAGGAAAGCAGGGGACUCGCAAGAGCCUUGUGCUAUGGGAGCGGCCGAUGUCCGAUUAGCUAGUUGGUGGGGUAAAGGCUUACCAAGGCGACGAUCGGUAGCUGGUCUGAGAGGAUGAUCAGCCACACUGGGACUGAGACACGGCCCAGACUCCUACGGGAGGCAGCAGUGGGAAUUUUGGACAAUGGGGGCAACCCUGAUCCAGCCAUGCCGCGUGCGGGAAGAAGGCCUUCGGGUUGUAAACCGCUUUUGGUCGGGAAGAAAAGGUUCUCCCUAAUACGGAGGACUGUUGACGGUACCGGCAGAAUAAGCACCGGCUAACUACGUG
Molecule: ribosomal RNA, 505 nt
Filed under: uncultured bacterium
Lineage: Bacteria
Description: bacterial SSU rRNA
Rfam family: Bacterial small subunit ribosomal RNA
Source: RNAcentral